RNAcentral lists this ribosomal RNA (467 nucleotides) under uncultured delta proteobacterium. RNAcentral describes it as "bacterial SSU rRNA". It matches the Rfam family "Bacterial small subunit ribosomal RNA", at positions 338 to 795 of the family's 1533-position model. The record is from RNAcentral. Lineage: Bacteria; Deltaproteobacteria.
CCUACGGGUGGCUGCAGUGGGGAAUAUUGCGCAAUGGGCGAAAGCUUGACGCAGCAACGCCGCGUGAGUGAUGAAGGCCUUCGGGUCGUAAAGCUCUGUCAGGAGGAGCGAACACCCGGCAGGAACAAUACCCUGUCGGUUUGACGGUACCUCCAGAGGAAGCACCGGCUAACUCCGUGCCAGCAGCCGCGGUAAUACGGAGGGUGCUAGCGUUGUUCGGAAUUACUGGGCGUAAAGCGCGUGUAGGCGGAUCCAGAAGUCGGGUGUGAAAGCCCUGGGCUUAACCCAGGAAGUGCGCCCGAAACCAUGGGUCUCGAGGUCCGGAGGGGAUCGGGGAAUUCCCAGUGUAGAGGUGAAAUUCGUAGAUAUUGGGAGGAACACCGGUGGCGAAGGCGCCGAUCUGGACGGAUUCUGACGCUGAGACGCGAAAGCGUGGGUAGCAAACAGGCUUAGAUACCCCAGUAGUC